GCCUUCGUAGUGUAGUGGUCAGCAUACUCAGCUCGUGUACCAGAAAUCCAUGGUUCGAUUCCUGGCGAGGGCA
This 73-nucleotide transfer RNA is filed under the name Stegodyphus mimosarum. It matches the Rfam family "tRNA". From Rfam's summary of the family: Transfer RNA (tRNA) molecules are approximately 80 nucleotides in length. Lineage: Eukaryota; Metazoa; Arthropoda; Arachnida; Araneae; Eresidae. The record is from Rfam by way of RNAcentral.